Molecule: transfer RNA, 77 nt
Filed under: Acidaminococcaceae bacterium
Lineage: Bacteria; Bacillati; Bacillota; Negativicutes; Acidaminococcales; Acidaminococcaceae
Also listed under: 1 other name
Description: tRNA-Arg
Rfam family: tRNA
About the family: Transfer RNA (tRNA) molecules are approximately 80 nucleotides in length.
Source: RNAcentral
GACCCAAUAGCUCAGCUGGAUAGAGCGUUUGGCUACGAACCAAAAGGUCGGGGGUUCGAAUCCCUCUUGGGCCACCA